GAUGAACGCUGGCGGCGUGCCUAAUACAUGCAAGUCGAGCGAACGGACGAGAAGCUUGCUUCUCUGAUGUUAGCGGCGGACGGGUGAGUAACACGUGGAUAACCUACCUAUAAGACUGGGAUAACUUCGGGAAACCGGAGCUAAUACCGGAUAAUAUUUUGAACCGCAUGGUUCAAAAGUGAAAGACGGUCUUGCUGUCACUUAUAGAUGGAUCCGCGCUGCAUUAGCUAGUUGGUAAGGUAACGGCUUACCAAGGCAACGAUGCAUAGCCGACCUGAGAGGGUGAUCGGCCACACUGGAACUGAGACACGGUCCAGACUCCUACGGGAGGCAGCAGUAGGGAAUCUUCCGCAAUGGGCGAAAGCCUGACAGAGCAACGCCGCGUGAGUGAUGAAGGUCUUCGGAUCGUAAAACUCUGUUGUUAGGGAAGAACAUAUGUGUAAGUAACUGUGCACAUCUUGACGGUACCUAAUCAGAAAGCCACGGCUAACUACGUG
RNAcentral lists this ribosomal RNA (497 nucleotides) under uncultured bacterium. Its description in RNAcentral is "partial 16S ribosomal RNA". It matches the Rfam family "Bacterial small subunit ribosomal RNA", at positions 28 to 507 of the family's 1533-position model. The record is from RNAcentral.